GAUGAAGAACGUAGCGAAAUGCGAUAAGUAAUGUGAAUUGCAGAAUUCAGUGAAUCAUCGAAUCUUUGAACGCACAUUGCGCCCGCCAGUAUUCUGGCGGGCAUGCCUGUCCGAGCGUCAUUUCAACCCUCGAACCCCUCCGGGGGGUCGGCGUUGGGGACCUCGGGAGCCCCUAAGACGGGAUCCCGGCCCCGAAAUACAGUGGCGGUCUCGCCGCAGCCUCUCCUGCGCAGUAGUUUGCACAACUCGCACCGGGAGCGCGGCGCGUCCACGUCCGUAAAACACCCAACUUCUGAAAUGUUGACCUCGGAUCAGGUAGGAAUACCCGCUAAACUUAAGCAUAUCAAUAAGCGGAGGA
This 358-nucleotide unclassified non-coding RNA is filed under the name soil metagenome. RNAcentral describes it as "partial contains 5.8S ribosomal RNA, internal transcribed spacer 2, and large subunit ribosomal RNA". The stretch from base 1 to 120 matches the Rfam family "5.8S ribosomal RNA", at positions 35 to 154 of the family's 154-position model. The record is from RNAcentral.